This 253-nucleotide ribosomal RNA is filed under the name uncultured bacterium. RNAcentral's name for it is "partial 16S ribosomal RNA". It matches the Rfam family "Bacterial small subunit ribosomal RNA", at positions 524 to 776 of the family's 1533-position model. The record is from RNAcentral.
UACGUAGGGCGCAAGCGUUGUCCGGAAUUAUUGGGCGUAAAGAGCUCGUAGGCGGCCUGUUACGUCUGCUGUGAAAUCCCGGGGCUUAACCCCGGGCGUGCAGUGGAUACGGGCAGGCUGGAGGCAGGCAGGGGAGAACGGAAUUCCCGGUGUAGCGGUGAAAUGCGCAGAUAUCGGGAGGAACACCGGUGGCGAAGGCGGUUCUCUGGGCCUGUACUGACGCUGAGGAGCGAAAGCGUGGGAAGCGAACAGG